This 460-nucleotide ribosomal RNA is filed under the name uncultured bacterium. RNAcentral's name for it is "partial 16S ribosomal RNA". It matches the Rfam family "Bacterial small subunit ribosomal RNA", at positions 338 to 795 of the family's 1533-position model. The record is from RNAcentral.
CCUACGGGCGGCAGCAGUGAGGAAUAUUGGUCAAUGGACGGAAGUCUGAACCAGCCAUGCCGCGUGCAGGAAGACGGCUCUAUGAGUUGUAAACUGCUUUUGUACAAGGGUAAACCUGAAUACGUGUAUUCAGCUGAAAGUACUGUACGAAUAAGGAUCGGCUAACUCCGUGCCAGCAUCCGCGGUAAUACGGAGGAUCCAAGCGUUAUCCGGAUUUAGUGGGUUUAAAGGGUGCGUAGGCGGAUUGAUAAGUUAGAGGUGAAAUGUCCGAGCUUAACUCGGGAACUGCCUCUAAUACUGUUGAUCUAGAGAUAAGAUGCGGUAGGAGGAAUGUAUGGUGUAGCGGUGAAAUGCUUAGAGAUCAUACAGAACACCGAGUGCGAAGGCAGCUUACCAAUCUAUAUCUGACGUUGAGGCACGAAAGCGUGGGGAGCAAACAGGAUUAGAUACCCCGGUAGUC